UACGUAGGGUGCGAGCGUUGUCCGGAAUUAUUGGGCGUAAAGAGCUUGUAGGCGGUCUGUCGCGUCUGCUGUGAAAAUCCGGGGCUCAACCCCGGACUUGCAGUGGGUACGGGCAGACUAGAGUGUGGUAGGGGAGACUGGAAUUCCUGGUGUAGCGGUGAAAUGCGUAGAUAUCGGGAGGAACACCAGUGGCGAAGGCGACUUUCUGGCCUGUUCUUGACGCUGAGGCGCGAAAGCUAGGGGAGCAAACGGG
Molecule: ribosomal RNA, 253 nt
Filed under: uncultured bacterium
Lineage: Bacteria
Description: partial 16S ribosomal RNA
Rfam family: Bacterial small subunit ribosomal RNA
Source: RNAcentral